Molecule: non-coding RNA, 29 nt
Filed under: Rattus norvegicus (Norway rat)
Lineage: Eukaryota; Metazoa; Chordata; Mammalia; Rodentia; Muridae
Source: RNAcentral
UAGUGUCAGAAUGGGAAGUGCGAGUUGUU